AAGGGUGAUUUAAGCAGGGAAGCUGAUGUGCAUGUUUUAAAGUAGUUAUCCCAAGACGAAUGUAAAAAAUGAAAAUCAGACAUCGUAUAGUACAUGACAAUCUCUUUCUAACAAAGCUAGAACCGGCCCUGUACCUCACAUGGGUCCAGAGAUC
Molecule: long non-coding RNA, 154 nt
Organism: Bufo bufo (common toad)
Lineage: Eukaryota; Metazoa; Chordata; Amphibia; Anura; Bufonidae
Exons: 3
Source: RefSeq, a predicted model, not a curated record